CCUACGUGGCGCAGCAGUGAGGAAUAUUGGUCAAUGGGCGGAAGCCUGAACCAGCCAAGUAGCGUGCAGGAUGACGGCCCUACGGGUUGUAAACUGCUUUUAUACGGGAAUAACGCGCCUUACGUGUAGGGCUUUGCAUGUACCGUAUGAAUAAGGACCGGCCAAGUCCGUUCCAGCAGCCGCGGUAAUACGGAAGGUCCGGGCGUUAUCCGUAUUUAUUGGGUUUAAAGUGCGCGUAGGCCGCAUGUCAAGCGUGCUGUGAAAUGUCGGGGCUCAACCCGGGCCUUGCAGCGCGAACUGGCGUGCUUGAGUCCGCGGAAAGCAGGCGGAAUUCGUCGUGUAGCGGUGAAAUGCUUAGAUAUGACGAAGAACCCCGAUUGCGAAGGCAGCUUGCUGCAGCGGAACUGACGCUGAUGCUCGAAAGCGCGGGUAUCGAACAGGAUUAGAUACCCCUGUAGUC
This 460-nucleotide ribosomal RNA is filed under the name uncultured bacterium. RNAcentral describes it as "partial 16S ribosomal RNA". It matches the Rfam family "Bacterial small subunit ribosomal RNA", at positions 338 to 795 of the family's 1533-position model. The record is from RNAcentral.